Molecule: ribosomal RNA, 484 nt
Filed under: uncultured bacterium
Lineage: Bacteria
Description: partial 16S ribosomal RNA
Rfam family: Bacterial small subunit ribosomal RNA
Source: RNAcentral
AUUGAACGCUGGCGGCAUGCUUUACACAUGCAAGUCGAACGGCAGCGCGGGCUUCGGCCUGGCGGCGAGUGGCGAACGGGUGAGUAAUACAUCGGAACGUGCCCAGUAGUGGGGGAUAGCUCGGCGAAAGCCGGAUUAAUACCGCAUACGACCUGAGGGUGAAAGCGGGGGAUCUUCGGACCUCGCGCUAUUGGAGCGGCCGAUGGCAGAUUAGCUAGUUGGUGGGGUAAAGGCCUACCAAGGCGACGAUCUGUAGCUGGUCUGAGAGGACGACCAGCCACACUGGGACUGAGACACGGCCCAGACUCCUACGGGAGGCAGCAGUGGGGAAUUUUGGACAAUGGGCGAAAGCCUGAUCCAGCAAUGCCGCGUGUGUGAUGAAGGCCUUCGGGUUGUAAAGCACUUUUGGCGGGAACGAAAAGGACUGGGCCAAUACCAUGGUUCGAUGACGGUACCCGCAGAAUAAGCACCGGCUAACUACGUG